CGGAGAGUUUGAUCCUGGCUCAGAUUGAACGCUGGCGGCAGGCCUAACACAUGCAAGUCGAGCGGUAGAGAGAAGCUUGCUCCUCUUGAGAGCGGCGGACGGGUGAGUAAUGCCUAGGAAUCUGCCUGGUAGUGGGGGAUAACGUCCGGAAACGGACGCUAAUACCGCAUACGUCCUACGGGAGAAAGCAGGGGACCUUCGGGCCUUGCGCUAUCAGAUGAGCCUAGGUCGGAUUAGCUAGUUGGUGGGGUAAUGGCUCACCAAGGCGACGAUCCGUAACUGGUCUGAGAGGAUGAUCAGUCACACUGGAACUGAGACACGGUCCAGACUCCUACGGGAGGCAGCAGUGGGGAAUAUUGGACAAUGGGCGAAAGCCUGAUCCAGCCAUGCCGCGUGUGUGAAGAAGGUCUUCGGAUUGUAAAGCACUUUAAGUUGGGAGGAAGGGCAGUAAAUUAAUACUUUGCUGUUUUGACGUUACCGACAGAAUAAGCACCGGCUAACUCUGUGCCAGCAGCCGCGGUAAUACAGAGGGUGCAAGCGUUAAUCGGAAUUACUGGGCGUAAAGCGCGCGUAGGUGUUCGUUAAGUUGGAUGUGAAAUCCCCGGGCUCAACCUGGGAACUGCAUUCAAAAC
RNAcentral lists this ribosomal RNA (632 nucleotides) under uncultured bacterium. RNAcentral's name for it is "bacterial SSU rRNA". It matches the Rfam family "Bacterial small subunit ribosomal RNA", at positions 1 to 633 of the family's 1533-position model. The record is from RNAcentral.